This 423-nucleotide long non-coding RNA is filed under the name Nicotiana tabacum (common tobacco). Its description in RNAcentral is "long non-coding RNA (NTAB_LNC013429)". Lineage: Eukaryota; Viridiplantae; Streptophyta; Magnoliopsida; Solanales; Solanaceae. The record is from RNAcentral.
AUAUAACAGAGGAAUACAUUUUAGUCUUUACAUUUCAAGUCUGGAAGUUGGGAGCCCGCCCAUAUAACAGAGGAAUACAUUUCAGUCUUUACAUUUCAAGUUUUGAAGUUGGGAGUCUGCCCAUAUAACAGAGGAAUACAUUUCAGUCUUUACAUUUCAAGUUUUGAAGUUGGGAGCACGCCCAUAUAACAGAGGAAUACAUUUCAGUCUUUACAUUUCAAGUUUUGAAGUUGGGAGCCCGCCCAUAUAACAGAGGAAUACAUUUCAGUCUUUACAUUUCAAGUUUUGAAGUUGGGAGCCCGCCCAUAUAAUAGAGGAAUACAUUUCAGUCUUUACAUUUCAAGUCCAGAGGUUGGGAGCCCGCCCAUAUAACAGAGGAAUACAUUUUAGUCUUUACAUUUCAAGUCUGGAAGUUGGGAGCCC